CUGUCCUCCAGGAGAGUACCUGAUUCUAUCUAAACUACAAAGGGCAAAAUAACAGAGUAAAUUCCCAAGUAAUGGAGGCAAAUAUAAAAAGGAAUAUUAUUUAUUACCAUCUUUAUUAACACUCACAUGUAACCUUUGUUUUUUACACAAAAGUCUACUUUAGAAGGAUGCCUCCUUGAUUUAUCAUGCCCAACAGGGCCUUAUGUUCCUGGAUCAUUUUCCCUUUCUCCACCCCAGCCCACCCCCACAUCCAAAUUAUUCUUACAUGUUCACAGAUACCACGAAAAUUUUGUAAACAAGAUUUGGAUUACUGGAACUUGAUUUCAUCAACAUUCCACUUCAAGAUGAAGGCAGGUGCAGGAGAGGGUAAGAAAUGGGGGAACUGGGAAGGGAGAAGGGGCAGGGGUCAGGGAGAAGGGGCAACUAGUUAGAACUUUCAAGUCUUGCCUUUUCUGAGGUGUGUGAGCUCUGUGUGUGUGUGUGUGUGUGUGUGUGUGUGUGUGUGUGUGUUCCUUGAAAUUCACCGACUCAAAAACAUUGACAGCAAGUGCCUGUGUGGUUGUUUAUAUUAUAUAUCUAUAAUAGAACAUGUGGGUUUCUCAGUUUGGGUCUGGGUUGUGUUUGUUGAAACACUCCACAGUGCUCUUUGUGGGUGGAGUCUACCGGGCACCAGAUCUCCUGGGAACGCCUCUCAGAGCCGGGGCUUCCGAAGCAGGGUCUUGCUGAGAUCUUUGACCUCCUCGGGGCUGUUCACCCGCUCAUAGCCCAGCACAGCCAUGGGCUGGUAGCAAAACUCCUCCACCUGUUUGAUCUGCUGGAAGGUGAGUGCGGUCCGCCAGGCGUUGGCGGCCUGUGUGGCAUUGCGUGCAGACACCACGAAAGGCUUAGAGGAGGAGCCCGAGCCACUGGUCAUGUUCAGGGCGAACUGCUCCAUUUCAGGGCUCACUAGCAGCCCCACAAAGUCAUAUACCUUCCGCAAUGUCUUAACGGGGUCUCCCACCAGAUCCUCGUACCGCACCACCAGGUAGUGGCCCUGCAGCCAGUCAGGGGGCUGCAGGGCUGUCUGCAGCGUCUUGGCCAUGCUGUUGCAUAUGACCUCCAUAGCGCCGAGCGCAUGGUAGUCUGCUGGGCCACCCAUGCCCUCCUUCUUGGCACUCAGCUUAUGCCCAGCGGCCUCCAGGAAGGGCAUACGAUGGGCCCGUGGGUCCCGGCUGCGUACCACCUGUAGGCUCUCUCGGAUGAGGCCAUGGCGCGAGCGGAUACGUGAGCUGGCAACUGCACGGGGAUCACGCACCAGGUGGAUGACCUUGAGGUCCAGGGCCGGGUCUCGAAGCAGCGGCGCCAACACUGCCACGUCAAAGACGCGCACACCCUUGAUAACCAGCGUGCGGUACUUGCGGCACUCCUCUUCGAAGCGUGCCAGGCGCUGAGGCGGGCACUUCUUGCACACCCUGUCGUCCACCAGCCCCACGACCUCCUUGCGGUAGGCGGGGCAGAGGGGCGAGGAGCACACCACCUUGUUGGUGGCGGCACCGAAAGAUGCCCAGCGUGGUGAGGUUGCGCCCCCCGCUGCCAGCGGGGCUGUACAGCUGGAAAACGGAGAGAUCGCAUCGGUAGAGAGCGCUCAGCAUGUCCCGCGCUGCUCCCUGCAGGGAGACAGCAUCCCCCGGGUACAGUUUUUGCCACACGUGCCACACUGGCUCGUAGAGAAAGAACACCUCCGGGUUCUGGUUGAAGAGCUCGCCGAAGAAGGACGAGCCCGAGCGCCACGUGGUGAACACAUAGACCAGUUGCCGCUUGUCCCCGCCGCCCCGGGUGCCAUUUCCCUGUGGGGCCGCGGCCCCUACCACCCCCGCCGCAGCUGCAGGCGCUGACCCUACGGCGGCUGCAGCAGGAGAGCGGUACGGGGUGCGGGGGUCUAAACGCGCGGGAGCGCGCGGGAGCGCGGCAGGAGGCAGCCCUGGGCGUCCCCAGCCGCCCCCAGAUGCCCCCGCCGCGGCACCCAGCGGCCCGUCGGGGUUGCACUGCUGCAGUGGCUCCUUGUGCCACUUGUAGUCCAGGAGGUUGAGCAUGGUGAGCACCAGCAGCAGUGCAUAGCCUGCGCACAGCACUAGCGCCUUCCUGCGGAACACCUUCAUUCCGAGCGGGGACGCGGGCCAGCGGCGUCCCGGGCGCCGGGGCCAGGGCGGGAGCAGGGCACGCGGUGAGGCGGCAGGCACAGCCGGGGCCGGCCACGCGGCGGAGGCGGUCCUGCAGCCCGAGAGGGGGAGACGCAGUGGGCCGGCUGCGGGAGCCGGCACUGGGGCCGCGGCUCCGAGGUGGGCGCGGCGGCAGGGGCGGCUGGUGUCCGACGCCCAGGGCUGGCUCUCCCAUGGCAGCGGCUCCGCCAGAGACCUGUGAGAGGAAGCGGAGUGAGUGGGUGCGCCCCGGUCUUCCUCCCAGCUACCUCCUCCCUAAGUAAUGCCCACCCUAGAGUCUCCCGGCUCCUUACUCACCUGGAGCCGCGGGUGCGCUCAAGCGCCUCGGGAUCACCGACCAGCGCACUGUCCGGCUGUCACUCGUCCCUUGAUUGCUGCUCUCUUGCGGGGGAUCGAGGAGUCUUCGACGGGGCCGAGAGAUUCCGCAGCCCAGGCCCUGGGCAGACUUUCCUGGCAGCGAGCGCCCGAAGCUGGGGAAGGGAAACUUUCACUGGGCCCUGAGCCCUGCAGCGCGAUCCGCCGAGCCCUCGCGUCCCGGCUUCAGCGACGUCUCCCUGCUCUCUCGGGACCGCAGUUCCUUUCUCGCUCCGGGAGGAGAAGCGGGCUACAGGCGAAGGCGGGGGCGGGGGCCUUUAUAGAGGACCCAGCUCCCAACAAAACGGAUCUUCCUCUGUCGCUCUUCGCCUCGGCACAGCGAAUGUUUCCAUCUCCCCGGUGGCGGCGGCGGCGGCUGCUCCUCCCAUCACCAGGAGAUGCCCCCGCGGGCAGCGCAGACGAGCCCGCUGCGCCUUCGCCUCGGACCGGCCCGGAAGGACCCCGCACACGCAGUCGAGACGAACGAGCCCAGUCCGCAGCGCUCCCUGCCGCCCCGCCCGGCACCAGCCGCUUCUGGCCCACAGGGUCUCCAGGCAGAGGAAGCCCCGGCCGCCGCCGCGCGAAAGCGGCGCCCGCAAGGAUGCUGCUCCCCGACUCCCCUACGCCGAGCGCCCGCAGCGCGCUCCGCCCGGCCUCUGCGCGCUCCUGCCAGCCGGCGCCGGGUUGGUGCGCUCCCCUGUCUCGUCGCGCGGCUCCGCCCCUCCGCCGCUCUGCCCUCCUCCGCCCCGGGUCCCACGCCCGCCCUCUUCGUGGCGCCCGAUCCCGCCGCCGCCUCUUUGGGAGCCGGGGCCGCGACCCUUUUCACCUCGGCGCCGCCUGGGCCGCCGUCCUCGAGUUGGAAGACUUAGGUCUCCGUGCGCACAGCACCCGGGCGCCGACGCGGGAUUCGCAGCGCUCGGGCGCCUCAGGCUGUAAAUGACUGAGAUUCUGCGUGACUGCGGAGUUGAUCCCACGUUCUGGAAAACGUGUUGAAGAUAAAGUUUGGACCGAAAUCCCCCGGCAGCGGUACUCUCCGCUCUUCCCUGGGGUCGAGAGCAGCCCCUCCAGGAACCGAAGACGCACUGCUCCCGAGAGCCUCGGAGGAGCGCCCUUCUCAGGCUGCUGACGCCCGGCUCGCCCUGUCAGCUGCUCUGUGGUUUCUGCCUCGAAAAGGAAGUAAUAAAUCUUUCUGGCCCAGAGGUCAAAGAAGACGCUUCAACUUUCCUGGAGUGCACCGCGGGGAGACUUCUGCGCGUUUACCGGACCUGUAUACCGGGCUGCUUCGUUUUUAUUACGCCGCCGGCAGAGAACUAACCUCCCGCUUCAGAGAGCUGCGUCCGCGGUGACUGAAGUCCUCCGGAAUUGGGGUGAUGGCGGAGGAGGCGACUCUGUUCUAAUUUACAGCAAAACACUUGUCCCGUUUCUUGGCUUUUAGAGAUGAGAUCAAAGACCCUAGUCUCAAAGGAAACACUGUCGUUGAAAAUCGAAAGUCAUUUUUUAGCUAGUUUAAGUACUUUUUGUCAAAGAGAGAAUCCUAAGCCACAUCCUCAACUUCAUCUGUAAAAUGGGGACAACUAUCUGCUAAAGAGAGACCGGAGAGAAGUUAGAGCGCGCAUGGGAAAGGUAAAACCCCAGCGCAGGGCUGCGGGUGAGAAGACAAAUUGCUGUGGGACCAGAAGCUCAGUGGCCGCGGGCACAGUGAGGACCUCGAAGAGGUGACCCUUUGGAGUCGUUACUAACAAAUUUGAAGUUGCUGCAAAAUUACUGUUGUUCUACUUGAGGCAGCCUCUCUCCGCCAGGAGACCUACCUAAAUUUAAGAUGUUGCCGUUAGAGCCAUUAUUCUACAUGAAGUUACAGAAUCUUCCAAGUACGAGAACUCUUAGCGAGCUAAGUUGUUUUCCGAACUUGGACUCUCUUCAUCUUCCUCCACCAACAUGGAAGCACAAGGCUCCUGCUUCAGGAAAAGUCGGGCCUAUACAUGUGAAGAAGAAACUCAUGCCAGCUAUGGAAAACAAUCCACCAGAGGAAGAAAAGAGAUCAUAGCAGUUAAAAUACAAAUUUCCAAAGACAGAUGUUGAAGAAAGGUGCUUCAGAAGGAAAAUAAUAUUUGUUAAUAAAUGAUCAACUCAAGAAAGUAAUCACAAGAUUUGAACAAACACUACCGGAAACCAGAUCUGUUUCUUAUAUUUAGGAAACUUCCCCAAAAGAAGAGCAGAGACCACACCUGACCAGAGAAGCCAAAAGGGACUGAGACUCAUAUCCCCAGACUCCUCUGCAAGUAGGGGCCAGCCUAAGGUUACUCUGCAAGUAACCUCAGCCUGGCAGCUCAGCUGUGCAGAGACAGGAACAGAUGAGAUUCAGUCUGUUGGUGGCCGCUGGGGGUCUGGGCUGCUAGUGCCUGGGAUUCUCCAUUCUCUCAGCCUGGCUUGCUUCCCAUUCCUGGGGUUUCCAGAAGAUGCCCAGUGACUCUUUUUCUCCUCAGUCAGCACAAACCAGUGAUCAGUGUAUGCCAUAUAAUAUUAAACCCUGUUUCAUACAGCAGGGACACUGUGCUUGCAUAAGAUGCCAGGACUUCAAAUGUGUACUUCUGUUUCCCACCUGAAAUAUGGUCUUACUAACACUAGCUCUAUUUCACUGAAUUCUUUCAAAUAAACCACUUGUUUAAAAAAUCUCUUAGAAUUGUUAAGUAAUUGGACAAAACAAAUCUGUGUAUAUGUUUUUGUUUUGUUUCUGUUUUUUUGAGACAGGGCCUCACUAUGUAAUUCAAGCUGGCUUCAAACUCUCUACAUAGCUCAGGCUGGCCUCAUAGCAAUGCUCCUGCCGCAGCCUCCUAACUGCCAGAAUUAAGGUGUGUGCCAUCACACCCACUGUAUGUGUUUUUUGAACCAGCUUGUUUUACUAAAAGAAUGCAAGUAUCAGAGCCAGAGGAGAAAAAAGACUGUGCAGAAAUGCACUUCCACUCCACAUUCUAGUUCUUUCGGGUGGUAAAUGGGAAUCCAGCCCACAUAAAAUCCACCUGCUUGGAUUUUAAGAUUUAUGGAGCCACCUGGGAGAAGUGAAGAAUGUUUUCACAGACCAACAUCCCAGGGAAAGCUCUGAAAAGCAUUCCACUUAAUUCUUCCACCUGUGUAUCACAACUUCUAGGUGUUUCCUCCCCUGUAUCUUUUUUGUGCUACUGAGACAAACACAGGAUCCAGCUCUUUUAAGAAUUCAUCUUACAAGUUGUUUUCUUCUCAUCAGCUGCAACUUCCAGUCAUAGAAUCUGAGGCAGAGUCUGGGGACAUGGUUAAUCAUGUCACAGAGAAUGAUCCCAGAUGGAGAAAAAGCUGCAAACACAAGAAACCUGAAUGUCAGAGGCCUGUGCUCAGGAGAAAAGGUCACUCAAAGGAGGACAAUAAAAAGAAAUGAGGUAGUGUAACAAGAGUAUUCCUUCAUGAAGACUUUCUUUUUACUCUUACAAUGUCAAGGUACUCGUAAGGGCUAGAGACCAUCACAUACUUACAUUUGCAAAUCCAUCCACCAGUGUCACGCCCCUCCUCACUGCAAAUAUCUUGAAGAUGAGCACGAAGUUGCCUCUGUGUGGGGACACAGGCAAGAAAAGGAGUCCUAGGGACUCCAGGGCAUGAGACCAGAACAAGCUGCUCAGACUACGUUCACGUUUUCCUGCUUGCUUGUGUCAAUUUUAUUCCACCAAGCCUUUGUCAUCUGCUGCCACCCACCUGCCCUUGUCAUGUCACCAUCAAGCAUGGAUGUGGCUGUGGCCAGCUCACCUAAGGACAACCCUGAGGUUCCUAUCAGGGAAGAUGUUAUCAAAAAAUAUUAAAAUAAGGC
This 6384-nucleotide long non-coding RNA is filed under the name Heterocephalus glaber (naked mole-rat). RNAcentral's name for it is "lncRNA (ENSHGLG00100039435.1)". The record is from RNAcentral. Lineage: Eukaryota; Metazoa; Chordata; Mammalia; Rodentia; Bathyergidae.